Molecule: ribosomal RNA, 527 nt
Filed under: Dactylium candidum
Lineage: Eukaryota; Fungi; Ascomycota; Orbiliomycetes; Orbiliales; Orbiliaceae
Description: SSU rRNA
Rfam family: Eukaryotic small subunit ribosomal RNA
Source: RNAcentral
UCUAGGUGUUUGGGGGUGGCACCAGUCGGUAUACUUUGCAACUGCGAAUGGCUCAUUAAAUCAGUUAUCGUUUAUUUGAUAGUACCUUACUACUUGGAUAACCGUGGUAAUUCUAGAGCUAAUACAUGCUAAAAAUCCCGACCUCUGGAAGGGAUGUAUUUAUUAGAUAAAAAACCAAUGCCUUCGGGCUCCUUGGUGAUUCAUGAUAACUUAACGAAUCGCAUGGCCUUGCGCCGGCGAUGGUUCAUUCAAAUUUCUGCCCUAUCAACUUUCGAUGGUAGGAUAGUGGCCUACCAUGGUUUCAACGGGUAACGGGGAAUUAGGGUUCGAUUCCGGAGAGGGAGCCUGAGAAACGGCUACCACAUCCAAGGAAGGCAGCAGGCGCGCAAAUUACCCAAUCCCAAUCCGGGGAGGUAGUGACAAUAAAUACUGAUACAGGGCUCUUUUGGGUCUUGUAAUUGGAAUGAGUACAAUUUAAAUCCCUUAACGAGGAACAAUUGGAGGGCAAGUCUGGUCCCAGCAGCCAA